CCAUGCAUAAUUUAUCACCUAAUCUUUCAUAACAACAAACACCUUCAUCCUUAAUCAUUUUAAUAACCAUACAUCAUCAAAUACUUACACAUCACUCAUUAGCAAAAUCAUCACUACAAACAUACAAAAUAACUAAAUCCCUAUACAUGCCAUAACUUAAACGUGUUUCGAUAUAAAAUACCGAGCAGUUGUAGUUGAUAGUGUGGACGAUCUCCGACUUCUUUAGGAUCCUUGAAGUAGCUUUGCAAUACUAUAAGAGAAAGAGAAAUAAAAGAAGUAAGCAUAAAGCUUAGUAAGUUUACUAGCAAAUAAAUAACAAUAUUUAACUUAAAUAAUUAAACUCAAUGUCUAUAUCUCUAGUUUACUCUUUAGUUAAUCUCAUACUAGUUCUCUUACUUGUUUACUUAGAAUAUUUGUGUGCAUAACUUACUCAAUCCUUGCUGCAUCGUUGAACAUCAAUUGAUAGUAUAAUAAGUUCUUAAGUCUUACAACUUACCUGAGCUUGCCAUUUAUGCUUUAAACUGAACUUUCAUGAACAUGAUUCGUUUACAAGCCCGUUGAACUACAUUGGAAUAAUAAGGAUACUCGGGUCUCUUCUGAUAAUAACAUGCCAAAGCCAUGUCCCAGAUAUGGUCUUACAUGGGAUGUUCUCGUGAUGGUGCCCAUGCCAUGUCCCAGACAUGGUCUUAUAGGGGACCUCUCAUCUCGGUGCCAACGCCAUGUCCCAGACAUGGUCUUACAUGGGACCUCUUGUCUCGGUGCCCAUGCCAUGUCCCAGACAUGGUCUUACAGGGGACCUCUCAUGAUCUUAAGGAUGCCAAUGCCAUGUCCCAGACAUGGUCUUACAUGGGAUCUCUUUACCCAAAUGUCAUGACAUUCGUAUCCAGUACCAUCCUUAUGUAUCAACGGGACUUUUAAAUUUUAAUUAUCUAUCAUUUCAUGCUUGGAUCAUCAUCAAAUAAAUUCAUAAAAUAAAUUCAUAAUUGCUGGAAAUUAACAGCAUUAAUAAUAAAUAUUGAAAUAUUGCAUUUAUUUACCGUAAACUUACCUCGGUACCAAUUAUAGCCAAAUUCACCAACUUAGUCUUCAACUUUAUUCUUCCCUUUGUCUAACCUCGAGUUUCGUACUUCUUGAUCAAAUUACUUUGAACCUUAAAACCCCAAAUUUCCCUUUUUCUUUUCUUUUCUUUCUUUCUUUCCUUCCUUCCUUCUCUGUUUCGUUUUGCUCUCUGUUUCUUUCUUUCUCCCUUCUCUGUUUUGUUUUGCUCUCUGUUUCUUUUCUUUCUUUCUUUGUCAUAUAUAUAUAAUAAUAAUAAUAUAAUAUAAUAUAAUAUAAAAACAUAAUUAUUACUUACGCAUGUAUAAUAUAUAAUAUAUAUAUUUUAAAUUAAAAAUAUCUUAGAUUUUUCUUUUGUUAUGCCGCCUCAACUUUAGAAAAAGGCAUAAUUGCCUAUUUGGUCCUUUAACUUUUCUUUAAUCUAUAAUUAAACUUUUAUCCUUACUUCAAUUUAGUCCUUUUUCAUAAUUAACUAUCAAAGCGUUAAAAUUUCUUAACGAAACUUUAAUAUUAUCCUGUUGACACUCCGUAAAUAUUUUUAUAAAUAUUUACGGCUCAGUUUAUAAUAUCGAGGUCUCAAUAUCUCGUUUUCGACCCAAUUUACCUAAUAAUUUCUUUUAAAUCACAAAAUUCACUGAUUUAAAAAUAUUUCUAAAAUCACACUUAACUUAUAAUUAUUAAUUAAUAAAUUUUUCUAACUUUUUCAUCAAUUUUAGUGAUCUCAAAUCACUAUUCUGACACUACUAAAAUUUGGGCUGUUACAAAAAAACUAAACUGUAAACAAGAAAGGAGAGAAGAGCUUUCGAUUGGUGCAGGCAGUGUGAACGGAGAAGGCCAUACAACAACGAUUUUAAUAGCCUAGUCUUAAAUGAAAACUUUUGAAUAGUUCAAUGAUCAAAUUGUAACUUUUUAAAGAUGAGUGACCAAAACGUAAAUGUACUAAUAAUUUAAUGAUCUUGGGUGUAGUUUACCUAAAAAAACAACAAGGAAAUUGCUUAAUAAUUUAGUAAUAAAUUGAACCAUCAAUCGAAAAUAACAUUCAAUUGAAGCCUUAAUUAAAUAUAAACAAUCAAUUAAGCACUUGAAAAAUCAAUUUUUGAGUAAGCACCUAACAUUGGUAAGUUAUCCGUGUGACAAAAUAUAGUAAUUUUCCCUAAAAAUGUUUUAAAAACAUUAAAAAAUUUUUAAAAUUUAUAAAAUAUUUAGAUUUUUCAAAAAAAUUUAAAAAAAGAAUUUUCAAAAGUUAUAAAAAAACUACUAAAAAAAUUAAAAUUUUAAAAUUAUAAAAAAUGCAAGUGUUUUUAUUAUAAUUAAAAAAAUUAUAUAUUUUUUAAAAAAGCAAAAAAUUAUAAAAUACUAAAAAUAAUAGAAAAUUAUUAAAAAUUUGUAUAACAAUUAUAAAAAUAUAACAAAUUAUAGGAGACAUGAUUGAUCAAUUUAUUGAUAUCAUCAAUAUAAGCAUUAGUGCUGUGUGGGAACAUGGUGUUGUUCUUAGAACCUGAACCUCCUGCCUUCUAUGUUAAUUAAAUUUUGAUUUUUUUUUUCUCGACAGUUAAACUUUUUAUGUGGCACCUUAAUAAAUCAUGUAGACACUUUUUCAUAAUUUUAUAUUAUUUUUAUUUUUUUAAUUUUCUAAAAAAAUUAGUAUUUUUUGCAAUUUUUAUAAUUUUUGGAAAUUCCAAUUUUUAAUAAUUUUAUAUUAUUUUUAAAUAAAUUUUAUAAGUUUUGAAAGUCUAACUUUUUAUUUUUUUUUAAAAAAAUUCCUAUUAUUUUAACAAUUAUUUUAUUUUUUUUGCGGUUUUAUAAAAUUUUAAAAAUUCUAUUUCUUUAUUUUAUUUUUUGAAAAUCUAAGUUUUUUAUUAUAUAAUUUUAGAUUUUUCUAAAGAACAUUUUAGAAAUCUUUUAUGUUUUUUAAAAUUUUAAAGAAAAAUACCAUAUUUUAUCACAUGUCAAAUUUAAUAGUGUUAGGGGCUUACACGAAAAUUAUUUUUUUCUUUAAGGUUUAAUUGAUUGUAUAUAUUCGAUUAAAACUCAAUUGGGUGUUAUUUUCAAUUGAGAGUUGAAUUGAUUAUUAAAUAACUUUAGAGGGUUUUUUUUCAUAUAUUAACAAGCAAGAGUAAUAUAGCCAAAGAAACAACUAUAUCUUUACUCUUGAAAAACUCAUUCUGAGGUUAAAAAAUCUAUAACUCGUAUUUUCGUAAAUUUAGAAUUUAGUUUUUAUAUUUUUAUUUUUAAGAAUUUAGUCUCUUUAUUUUUUUGAUUUUAAAAUUUAAGUCAAACUGAUAACACUGAUAAACUUAUUUUGCAAAAUUCGAGUUCAUUAAAAUGUUAUUUUUAGUUAUAUUUCUUCCAGGUGAGUAUUUCUUUUUUAAUUUUAAAAUGCCAUACCAACGAAUUUAAUAAAAGAAAGAGUAUUAACAAUUGAGCCUAAAUAUUGAAAUAUAAAAAAUAGAGAUUAAAUUUUUAAAAAUAAAAAUAUAUGGAUUAUAUUCUAAAUUUGUGAAGAAUGCAAGUAUCUAUAAACAUAUUUUAACCUUUUAAUUAUCAAACUUGACAUGAUAAAACUUUUAAAACUUCAAACAUAGGUCGAUUGAGUUUUAGCUUGAAUGACAUAGACAUUGUUGCUAAUGCAGGAGGAUGCGGGUCCGAGUGCGUUGAAUAGUAUUAUCCUCCUAUAUAUGGAUAGUUUUAAGCAUCGUGUCAAAAAAGAGUACUAAUAUAGUCAGAACUUGACAUAAUCGUCUAUUUUUACCGUGGCAUGGUCACUUUCUUAUAGGAAGUUCCUGUAUGAGAAAGUGGAAUUCUAAAUUUCUUGGAUUUAACGUUACAGGGUCAUCUGAAGGUACCGGUUUGAAGAUUAAACUAAUCAUAGGUAAAUAUACUGACUCCUUUAUAUCUCUAUUUGGAAGAAUGAAAAUAAACUAUUAUGAAACUGAUCCCAUCCCUUUAAAACAGGGUUUGCAGUGGUUGGGGUUACUGUUAUGGUAAUUUGCCUUGUGGCGUUUGCCUUGAAGCUUAAGAAAGGAUCGUUGUCAAGUGGGAAGCUGAUGAAUUUACAGCAGAAUAUAAGUAAGAACACUAAAAGGGUUGAAGCAUUCAUCAUGAGAUACGGUUCAGAGCUUGCCCCAAAGCGAUAUUCUUAUUCAGACAUCAAGAAAAUCACCAAGUCGUUCAAAGACAAGCUCGGCGAAGGCGGAUUCGGCACUGUCUACAAAGGCAAGUUGCCUGACGGUCGUCUUGUUGCAGUUAAAGUCCUGAGUGAAUCAAGGGAGGAUGGAGAGGAAUUCAUUAACGAAGUGGCGAGUAUUAGUCGAACUUCUCAUGUCAAUGUGGUGACGUUUCUUGGAUUUUGUUAUGAGAGUUCGAUGAGAGCUUUGUUCUAUGAAUUCAUGCCGAAUGGAUCAUUGGAUAAGUUUAUUUACCAGCACGGAUCGCAGGAUAAAAUUUGUAUGCUAAACCAGAAAACAUUGUUUGAAAUUGCUGUUGGCAUUGCUAGAGGACUAGAAUAUCUACAUCGAGGAUGUAACACCAGGAUUUUGCAUUUGGACAUAAAACCACAUAACAUCCUGUUAGACGAAAACUUCGUUCCCAAGAUUUCAGAUUUCGGUCUUGCUAAGUUAUGCGAGCGGAAGGAAAGCAUUCUUUCAUCGAUAACUGCUCGAGGAACAAUAGGAUACAUUGCUCCAGAACUAUUUUGUCGAAACUUUGGAGGCAUUUCUUACAAAUCCGAUGUUUAUAGCUACGGGAUGAUGGUCCUUGAAAUGGUUGGAGCAAAGGAAAGCGUUCAUGCCGGAGGGUCUCUAACAAGUGAAAUGAACUUUCACUCAUGGAUUUACAAACAUCUCCCACAAGAUGCAUUCAAUCUUGAAGGAAUCACAGCAGAAGAUGAAGAAAUAACUAAGAAGAUGAUUAUAGUAAGCUUAUGGUGCAUUCAAACUAAUCCAUCAGACCGACCGUCGAUGACGAAAGUGCUAGAGAUGCUACAAGGAAAUCUUCAAUCAUUAGCAAUUCCACCAAGACCUUUUCUGUUUUCUCCUCAACAAUCGCCCCCAAACACCUCGUCUACAAUAUCAUUAUUUGCAUCAUCCAUUACCAUGAACACCGAAUAACUAGACCACGGUAAUUUUUUUUCUUUUUAUUAUUAAAAAAUUAACUUCUUUUAUCUUAUAGAAAAGUUUUAAUGCAUGUAUAUUUCAUUAGAGUUGUUUGGUUCAGAUCAGAUACGGAUCAAACUAUUAUACAGGUAAAAUAAUCAACAUUUGUUCAAAUCUUAUUCCUACUAAUAUUAAAAUCUAAGUCAAAAUCAUAUUUUAAAUGUAUCCAACUAUUUUUUCAAAAUUUAUUUUAAACCUUCUUAAAUAUUCAAAUAGAUUUUCGACACAUCUAUAUUUCAUAACAGUUUGUUAGGAUACAGGGUUUAUGAUAAAGUUGUUCUCAUAAUAGCUUUCAUUGUUUAUAUAUGUCGCUGUCAUGUAUUUAUUUUUUAUCUUAUAUGCUUUAAGAGUUUGAUCUCUUCAAUUAAUUUCCGAAUUAUUUAUUUUAAUUAAAAAUAAAUUAGAUGAUUCCCUGCUAAAAUUCAAUUGGAUUGCCCUUUUUUUACUUUAAAUUAUUUUAAUUUGUUUAAAAAUAAAGGAUGAGUCACAAGUAAAUUAUUACUCUUUGAAUCUAUUGAUCAAACCAUACUUUUUCUUACUUUGACUUGACAAAUAAUUAAUAAUAUGAAAAAUCAUUUACUGCGCUAUUACUAGAUUUUAAAAAUUUCACAAGUAGACGUGAAAUAUUAUUAAAAAAACCUGAAACAUACAUGUGUUUUAUAUUAAAUCUUGAUUGUAGAGUUAAAAAUUCUUUUUACAUUAAUUACUUGAGUAAAUAUUCGGGAUAAAAAAAAUAAAAUUUUAAUCUAAAAAAAAUUUAUGCUUUAAUUGAUAAAAAAAAUUCUUCAAUUUUAAUAUUGAGUAAAUUUAUUUUUUUAAAUAUUUUAAUCCCCGUCAAUUUUAAAAGUGAACAUCUAAAGAUAUUUAAUUACAAAAUUAAUAUUUUUGUCAAUUGUACAUAAUUUUAAUUUGUAUAAUAUCUUAAAGUUUUCAAGUUUUGCUUAUUUAUAUAUAUGUUUUUUAAUUUUGUAUUUUUUAAAAAAUAGAUAUUUUUAAAUUGAUAAUAUAUAUAAACAUUGAAACUUAAUUUGUUAUUAUAUCAAUUAAAAUUAUGUAUAAUUGAUGAAAAUAUUUAAUUUAGUUUAAAUUUUUUUAAAGGGCUUUAGGUUAGUUUAAUAAACUUUCAAGCUUCAAUACAUUUGAUUGUUUUAACAAAUAACAAGUAAUUAUAUGCUAUUUCCUGGGAUUAAUGUCUAUUUAAUAUCAUUUUAGAUUUCUUGAUGAAAUUUUGGUUUAAUAUCAAAAUUAAAAUUAUCAAGGUUAUAAACUUUAGGUUUGAGUUUUACUCUCAUGCAUGAAUUUUAUAUUUCAAUUAUUAAUCCAUUUAUAUUUAUAAUAAUUAAUUAUAAUUGUAAUUAUUUGUUAUUAUUUUAUAAUUUACGCUCACAGAGAAAGGAAAGUAACAAAACUGAUAAAAAGUCACAAGACAUACCAACAUAAAUUUGACUUUUGACCAAUCUUUUUCCUUUUUUGUCCUUUUCAAAGUUCAAAAAAAUAGACAAAAAAUAUGACCAAAAACACUAUUGGUUAACCAAAACUGAAUUUCAAGUCAACAAAAAAAAAUCAGUUUUAUUGAAAAUAUCUUAAAUUUGUGAAAAUGAUCCCUUUUUAGUUAAAACAAAAAAAAAGCCCAUCCCUAUCUAUAAAUAAAAAUAAAAUAAAGAAGACGUUUUAUAAAUAAAAAAAUAAAACUGUAUUUUUAAGUGUAGAUAAUUUAUAAGCAAACAGUAAAAAUUUUCAGCUAUAAUUUUCGUAAAUUCCUAAUUAUAUAUAUUUUGUUAUAUACUUUUUAUUUUAUUUUAUUUAAUGGGAGAUGGGUCCCACCUUAUCUAUCGUCACGCUAAACUGCAUGAUCACGUGAAAGGGAGCAGAGGUGGGAGGUCCCCCCGAGUCCGCAUCAUCUUUUGCUGGACUCCCACACAUGGAGACACAGAGAUCGGUUAUAUAACUUUUUGUUUAUCUAUUAAUUUAUUUGGGUUGGGCCGGUGGGAGUAAACUCGCACGUGCGCCGAACUUUUGACACUUGUGAUAUUAUUAUUAUCUUGCUUUUCUUAUUGGAUAGUCAUCGACGACAAAGACGGUUGCUGAACCGAUAAUAAGAAUACUGGACACGUGGCUUCCAAACGUCACACUUUGGUCACGCAGUUAGAGAGACUAACAUGUUGCUUUAUCAUCUGCAUUUUCACUUUUUCCAAUUUGUCCCUCCUUUUUCUUAAAAAAAAAUUUAAAUAUAAAAAAAUUUUAUAUUCCAAGAUAUAAUAAUUAUUCAACACAUUAAUAUCUAUGGACUUGUUCAGCUAAUGCUUAAAAAAUCCUCUGCCUCUAUUUUUUUUUUCUUUAAAACAACUUCUUUGAGUUGAUGUUGAUGCAAAUUUUAAAUUAUUUAUAUUGUUAUUCACCUGUGUUUUAUUAGCAAAAUUUUCAAUGAUCAGUGGCAAAGUUGUAAAUUGAGAAAAGAUCAAGGGCGAUGAUAUCCAAUAAGUACAGUUUUAGCUGACCACCUCGCAAAUCCGUGUUAAUUUCCAAGCACUUGUUCAUUUCAUUUCAAAGCUUUUUCUAUCAAACAUACAUCUUCUGUUUUUCUUCCCGGGUUUUUAACUUUAACAACCCAAAACCAUUCCCGGUUUCCCGGUCUACCCAUUAAUCCGUCGAUUCGAUUCCACCUCCAACUAGAUUUUAUCAAAUCUGCUUUCACAGUUCCCCACCGAUUCACCCGUCUGUAAGCGCCGCCGUUUUAUAUCUUCAGUCGCCGAUCUAAAAUUUCUAAACUUAAGAUCCUUCUCCGAUCAGCUCACGAUUGAAACGGCGUCGUUGCAGCAAAAAAAAUCAUCGCUUUUAACUUCACACACACGAUUCUUAUUCUCUUUCCCUUUAAAAUUUUUGAUUAAUUUUACUCAAAUUCUUUUUUUUUUUGUUUUCCUUUUAAUAGGACAAUUUUUUUUUCUAUAAAUUGAAUAAUUCUAGCAUCGAUUCUUCUUCUUUUUUUCCCUUCGAUUUGAAAUGACGUCGGGGACGAGGCUACCGACAUGGAAAGAACGAGAGAAUAACAAGCGGAGAGAGCGGCGGAGGAGAGCAAUAGCAGCGAAGAUCUUCGCCGGACUUCGGAUGUACGGUAACUAUAAGCUUCCGAAGCACUGCGAUAACAACGAAGUUCUCAAAGCUCUUUGUAACGAGGCCGGUUGGACCGUCGAACCCGAUGGAACUACUUAUCGUAACGUAAAUUACUAUCUUCACUUGAACUUUUUUUUCUGCUCUUUGUUAGUUUAUUGAUUAAUCUUAUUAGGGAAAAGAUAGAAGAUAAUGCCAAUGGAACGGUUAUUGUUUUGUUUGAAAAUGAAAUUUCACUGAAAAUAUACGUUUUGUUAAUAGCUUGUUUGAGCUCUAAGAUUGCUUGUUUUAUUUUGUUUGUAAUUUUUGAAAAAUCGAGACAACGGAAAAUUGCUAUUUCGGAAUUUACUCUCUUUAUCGAUUUCUUUUGGUAAUGGAGUAAUAAUAAAUUAAUAAUUACAAAAAAUUCCAAUAAAACUGCGGUCCGUAUGCUAAUUUGUGCCGCUUCUUGCGGUGCAUGUUAAUCAACGGAAGUGUCCCCGUUGUGCUAACAUACGCCGAUUCUGGCGGGCUAAUGUUGAAAUCGGAGAAACAGGAAGAUCUGCUGCCAACGGUUAAAAUGCACGGCUCGAACCGGAGUUACUGUUUUACACACGGCAUCAAUUUGUUUUUUAAUUCUUUUCACUGCUUUUGUUUAUUAGUGUUUCUUCUUGUUUGAGGUAUUAGUGUAAUUUUGUAUGCUGGAUCAGGGCAGAAGCGUCAUUUUAUUAGUCUUCUCUUAUUUAGAUCUGGUCAGCCCUCUUUUGUAAUAUCUUUUUAUUAUGUGUUUUUUUACUCUUACUUUAGCCAACGCGUGAGCCGUGAAGUACCAACGAAAGAUGCUCUCUUUCUUUGAUGACCGUAUUCCAUAUAACUUGUAGUUAUUCCAGAUGAGAAAGAACAUGGGACUGAUCAUCACACUUAAAAAAGAAACCCAAUUUGCAUAGAUCUCGAGGAGAAAGACCUAACUACCCUUGUUAAAUUGAUGAUUGUGACUGUAGUUUUUGCACCAUGUGAAUUUACAGUGUGCUCUGAUUUACUCUUUUUUUUUUUAAUUGCUAAGUAACAAAGAGUCACUCGUUUGCACAGUUCCCCACUUUGCCUAACUUUCAUUUUCAGUUGAUCAUACAAGAAUUUGCGUUUUCUUUAGACUUGGCAAUCCGUUUGUGUUUGUAUUUUUUUAAUAAUUGUGUUUAAGCCUUUAAGGUUUUAUAGAUAUAAUAAUAUUUUUAUACGCAAAUAAUUGAUUUUAUAUAGAUUCUGGCACAUGUUAUGUUUCUUAUUUAUUUUGUUUGUUUAUGGUUGCUUGGCUGUAUUUACAAAUUAUCACACCUUUUGGCCAAUUUAUUACCCCAUUUUUAUUAUCACACCUUUUGGCCAAUUUAUUACCCCAUUUUUACUUGUUUUGAUGUCUUAGCUUGAUUACUCAACUAAUUUAAUUAGUACGGCCUACAAUUGUUUAGAACUCUGAAUCAGAUGGACUAUGUCUAAGACUGCAGCUCAAAGGCGGAGUUGAGGUUUUUAUCAUGCAUAAAACAAGGGUUUUUGCUUCUAAGCAAACUGAGGAUUUAGCAGAGAGAUGAGGUUUUCAGGGUAGAUAUUGUGAUUUGUAUGUCUGAUAUGUGAACUGGUGGAAUAACAUUGUGUAAAAUGACCCAAUUACUAAAGCUCCAAUUAGCUGAUAUUGUUCACAUAUGAAAUGUUUUAAAAUGGAAAAUAGGAUUAUUUUGAUGGAAAAGCGAAAUGAAGGGGUGAAUAUAAUGAUGCCCUAGUGUGGUGGAAUUAAUGACAUUCAUAAGAACUCGAAUUGCAUGUCUAAUCAAAUGAUGGAAUGAGUUUUGGUUUCUGAGAUGCUAUUUGUUUAAAUUUCCUAUUUCCUGGGUUGAGCAUACUUUGCAGUUAUGGUAAUUUUAUCGCUGCAUGUGAUUCUAGGAAUUUAGGGCACUGAUAAAUAUCUAAUUUCUGCAGGGUUGCAAGCCUGUGGAGCGCAUGGAUAUAGUAGGUGGAUCUGCAACAGUGAGCCCCUGUUCAUCUUACCACCCAAGCCCUCGUGCUUCUUACAAUCCGAGCCCUGCAUCAUCAUCUUUUCCAAGCCCAGCUUCUUCUUCGUAUGUGGUUAAUCCCAAUGGUGAUGUGAAUUCUCUUUUCCCAUGGCUCAAAAACCUCUCAUCUGCAUCCUCAUCAGCAUCCUCUUCCAAGCGUCCCUAUAGCUAUAUUCAUGGUGGUUCCAUCAGUGCUCCUGUCACCCCUCCAUUGAGCUCACCAACUGCUCGAACCCCACGAAUGAAAAAUGAUUGGGAGGACCAAUCUGCCCUUCCAGGUUGGAGUGCACAACAACAUUCUUUCCUGCCUUCU
This 10652-nucleotide long non-coding RNA is filed under the name Gossypium barbadense (sea-island cotton). RNAcentral describes it as "long non-coding RNA (GBAR_LNC013189)". The record is from RNAcentral. Lineage: Eukaryota; Viridiplantae; Streptophyta; Magnoliopsida; Malvales; Malvaceae.